UUUCGAAAUAAGAAAGAUCACUGGUGGUCAAAGUGCUUGCCCAGGUGCUUUGUAAACGUGAUUUGGCAUCUGAACACUGACCAUGAUUUAGAGAGGAACUUGCAGCUUUGAAACUGGGCUUUUCGAAUCCUGCCCUUCUGGAAAAGCCAAAGCCAUAGGUCGGGGUGGGAAGGCCAAGACAUGGGCAGGCAACAGGCAGCUCACACUCUACUGAAGAACACUGCAGAGAGAACCCCCAGUCUCUGGGCAGAAGUGACCAAGAUGAGCUCUUGGGAUGUGGGAAGAAGACAUAUAUAAGAGCUCAGACUACAGAACACCUUCCUUUCAACUCUGCGACCAGUGAUGCCUCCUGAAGCCCACUGGCCGCGACGUAUGAGGCAUUAAACGUCACGGUGAUUGAGAAGAGGCCGCUGGAUGCACCCAGCUCGGACUCCAUUUUGGAUUGCCUCACUUUCUAUGUAAAUUUGGGCAAGGUAGCUUCUCUGUUUUAGUUUCUUCAUGUGUAAAAUGAGGAUGGUAAGAAUAUCCAACUUUGUGUGAAGAAUGAGAAAAGUAGGUGGCUGAAGGAAACACAUCUGAGCUAAUCACAGAUCUCAAGUGGGCAAGCCUCUUGCACAAAUUCUGUAAUUCUACUACAUUCUCCCAGUCAAGUCACUAAGGCAACUAAUUUAUACCUCUUCUUUCCCCCUCCAACAUCUAACAUUCAUCAUUUCUCAAUUAAUGAUCUUGCUUCUUAUUUCACGGAGGAAAAUAAACUAAAAACAGAGAACUACCCCAUCCCUCGGCCAUCAGACCCUCCCCGCCUCAAAUCUUUCAUUUUGAUUGAGAUGUUCUGCCUUCCCUCUGGUUACAAGGCUGACUCUGCCUGGGUAUCAGAUCCACCCCUCAUUUACUUAAGGGCAUUGUUUCAGCAAUUCUUUCCCAUUUCCCCAGGUGAGACACCAAAUUCUUCUUCUCUACUGAAUCAUUCCCUUCAACAUCAAAUAUGCUGAGAUAUCUCCAUCUGAAAAAACUGCUUUCCUCAGCUCCACAGUCCUCUCUAGCUGCU
Molecule: long non-coding RNA, 1048 nt
Organism: Callorhinus ursinus (northern fur seal)
Lineage: Eukaryota; Metazoa; Chordata; Mammalia; Carnivora; Otariidae
Source: RefSeq, a predicted model, not a curated record